RNAcentral lists this ribosomal RNA (360 nucleotides) under Triticum aestivum (bread wheat). RNAcentral describes it as "partial small subunit ribosomal RNA". Lineage: Eukaryota; Viridiplantae; Streptophyta; Magnoliopsida; Poales; Poaceae. The record is from RNAcentral.
AUGAGUUUUCUACAUUGGGCUGCAUUGUUAAGAAAGAGUUUGAUGAUGCCACAAGAGCAAGAAUUAAAAGUCGUUUGUAGAACCAUGUUUCCUCAUGGCAGGAGGCGAGCAAUACUUUACUAUUACAAUGUUCAUUUUCAAUACAAUCAGAAGUAUGACACUGAUUGUCAAUUGUGCGUUCAUGCAGGUUGCGCGUUCAUGCAAUACUUUACCCAUGAAAUAGAAGAGUUGUGCAGACGUGUGAUUCAAGUUCUUCGACGGAAUGGGCCCAACUCAUUCAGUGAAGAACUUUCAAGGUUCUCUGUCGGAACUGGUUUGAGCUUCUAUAAGUUCAGUUUGAAGAACAGUAUCACAGAAUAA